AAUAAAUGUUUGUUGACUGACUAAAGAGAGGCUGCAGCAAAUUCAGAAGAAAUAGAAGAUCAAGGGUGCUGAGGAGGAGAAGGAGAAGGAUGAGUAGAGAAAAUUUCAGACCUCAACAUCCCCUACAUAAUUUUCAAAGGAUGAAUGGUUGGGGUGGCUUUUGUCAUAUUUGUAGUCAAGGGAUCUGGGUUUGAAUCCUGACUGCCAUUUUCUAAUUAAAUGAGUUUCCUAAGGCCCUUCUCAAAGCUCUGAGGUUCAGUAUUUUAAUAACCUCUCUGGACCUUACUUUCCUUUAUAAAUGAGGGGUUUAUGAUCUCUAAGAUCCCUUGUACUACGUGGUUCCAUCCUUGGAGGAGAACCAAGAACAACAGGCACGAUCCACCCAAUGAGUCCACAUGAGGAAGAGUGGGAUAAUGAGAGCCCUAGAAACCUUGGAGAACAGGUAAAAGAAAGUCAGAUGAAGACAUUGUCAAUGUGCAGCUUAAAAAAGAAAAAAUUAGGGGAAGGGAGGGAAGGAUCCUAAGCUCUGCCUUCAAGUAUCUGAAAAGAAGAAUGAGUCCACAUUAAUGUACCAUUGAUAGGAUUGUGACUUGGUUCAGUUUUUCUGGAAAACAAUUUGGAACUACACUAAAAAAGUGACUGAACUGUAUAUACCCACUUUCCAGCCCAGUGAUAGUAAAGUGGAACAGGAAUUUUAAUCAUCAUAUCCUGUCUCCAUUGUCAGACCUUUGUAAGCCUCUCUGAAUCCCUUGGAUUGUCUUAUUACCAUAUCUAAAAAGGAUAUUUUACUUCCUCUAGUCUCAUCUGGUCACUCAUUGUACUUGGUCAUGUAGAUGCACAUGUGAGUUUAUUUUCUAGUUUCCCUGACCCCUCCCUAAUUCCACAGAUCGCACCCUUACUUCAUUCCCUCUCUUCCUUUUGACUUUAAAAGGCCCUGCCACUGGAAGCAUUUUGCUUAAUCAUAUUUAAUUUAGUCUUGCUUAUUCAUUUUGAUUAAUAACUAUGAGUCAUUUCACAUCAAUAAAUGGCAUCCUUUGUGACUGUGACAAAUGUCUCAUGAAUUUUUCACAUUGUGAACAACUCUUCUACUUCCUGGUACCUGGGUACUUUACCCAAUAUUUUCAUGAAUUAUUGUUGUCAUUUUGUUAAUAACAUUUGUUAAAUGUUUAUAGUAGCAAUAUUUGUGGUGGAAAAAAACCCCAAUAACCUAGAAAUAGAGGGGGUUUCUAUCAGGGAAUAUCCUUAAAAAACUUUGGUAUAUUAAUGUGGUACAAUAGUAUCCUGCCAUAAGCAAUAUCACACAUGAGAAAUUUAGUACGAUUUGUAGAAACUGAUAAAAGAGCAGAACCAAGAAAACAAUAUAAAUGAUGAUAGUAAUGUAAAAAAAAAAAAAAAACCCUUAGAAAAAUACAAUGACCAUCUUUAAUUCCAGAAAAAUAAUGAUGGCACAUAUUUUCCUUCUCUUGGUAAAGACCAGGUACUAGACUGACAUCAUAAUAACAGUAAUAAUAAUAAUAAUAGCAUUUCUAUAGAGAUUUAAGGUUUAAAAGUACUUUACAAAUAUUAACUCAUUUUAUCCUCACAGCUUCUCUGGAGAGAUAGUUGCCAUUAUAAUCUCCAUUUUACAGAUGAGGAGCCUGUGGUUAAAUGAUUUGCCUAAAGUCUGAGAUCAGAUUUGAAUUUAGAUCUUCCUGACUUGAAGUCCAGUGUUCCAUUCAUCGUGACACAAAGCUGCUCUGAAGAAGGAAGACCCUGUCAAUCAUGCUUUGGGGCCUCCCCUUUUCCAGGAGCUCAUCACAUUGGUGCCAGUGAACACAUAAUCAGCUUUAGCCUUAUUGCAGCUCAGAACUCGAAGCCCCCAGGCUCAGACCAAUAACAGAUAUUAUAGACAAGAAGACCAAGGUCCCAAGGGCAGACCCACACGGUUCCACAGAGAGUAGCCCCAAAGCCUGGAUUCACUCCCAGUCUUCUGCCCAUCAGCACAUUCUCCAUGCUGCAUCUGCUGUGGUCCAGGCCCAGCGUUUUGUCGGCUGCACAAUCAUACCCAAGAGAAGUGACUGAGUACUGAAAAAAAAAUUAUACAAGAUUUAUAGUAGCCUAUUGCUCACUCUCUCUCAUCACUGAUCCCUGAAGCAUGAAGCAAUCACUACUCUGUUUUAUCUGGAAAAGGGAGAAGAAAGAAUGUCAUGUCCUCAGGGCAAUGUUUGUUAUAGGUAAGCAGCUCUUUGGUUCAAAGAUCUUGUUUUGGAAGAGAAUAUUUCUAGGCAUCCCAACUUCAAGGGAGUGGCCUGGAGUCCAGAGGCUCACAGAAUAUUGGAGCUGGAAGGGACUUUUGGAACCACUCAGCCUCCACCUUUUCAUUUUAGAGGAGAGGAAAGUGGGUAUCAAGAAGGAUAGAAGUCACUCAAGUGGUGAGGAGCAGAGACAAGAUUUGAGUUUGACCUUCCUGCUUGAGAAAGGAAGGAGUUCCUUAAAGACAUAAGAGAACCUCUAGUGAUGUUUCUGCCCAAAAUUUGGAUGUAAAGCAGAGAUUUGAAUAAAUGAUUUAAGAAAAUUUUAGGCCAUGUAAACCAAAAGAAUAAAAACACUAUAUAAUAAUAGUGUCCAAACUCAGCCCUGAAGAAGAGCUCUCAGGAAAGACCCAGCACUAUGGGUAUGAAAUUUUGAAUAUGCUGUCAAACAGAAGUAACAUGUUAGUUGAUUUUGCUUCCCCCACCUUUCUCCCAGUUUGGUCUCUACUACGCCCUGUUAAAAAGUGCAAAAGCACAAAGGAAGGAUCACACUGACUCAGACUGAUACAGCUACUACAAACAGGAUUUUAGGCUGGACAUAGUAUCCAGUAGAAGGGAAAUGAUAAUCUCUGUAUCCUUCAUCCUGGUCACACUGUGUCUGGUGUAUCCUGUUUGUGUUUGGGUACCACAGGAAGGAAAUUGCCAAACCAGAGUGUGUUAAACUGAGGGCAGCUAAAAUGAGAAGGGGGCUAGAGGUUUCUGCAUUAAGAAGGAACUAGGUUGUUUAACCUAGAGAAAAACUCAAAAGUUCAGGGUAGGAACCCUGCCUUCAAAUCCCUGAGGAGAAGAGCUGAUGCAAGAAAUUAGAUUGAUUCUGUUUCUCCCAAGAAGCAGAACUGGGCAAAGUAAAGGGGGUGUAGGAGGAGACGGAGCCCACAUGUCAGCAACAUUAAUUUUGUAUAGAGGAAGGCUGGCUCUUUGUAAUUUCCUGCAGGGCUUGGAUUUUACUCAUCAACUCCUCCUUUUUUGGGGGGGACCUUGCUCAUUCCUCUUGCUGAACUUACUGACAUCUGCUGGUGGGUAAGACCUGGCCUAGAAAAGAAGGAGCGGUUCAGAUUGCCCACCCUUUCUGACAUCUCUCAAGAGCCUGCAACUGAAGAACCAGAUCUAGGCCCUGCCCUCCUGGAGCUCAGGCUAGGGCAGAGAGAUAAGUCACUGGUGUUGAGCAGAGAAGAAUGCCAGAAGUGAAUGAUAAGGUCUCCAACUGAACAUAAUAUGGCCUGAGAAUACAAGUUCCCUCUCCUUCCUAGAGCCUCACUUUUGUAAUAUUGAGAGAGUUGAACUAAAUGACUUCUACAGUCUCUUCAAGCUGCAAAGUUAAUAGGAGUUUGGGAGGAUCUCCCAUUUCUGUCAUUCUCAAAAAUUUUUUUCCUGACUGAAUGUGGAUCAUAGAAAAUGUGAAUCACAUUUCCACCUUUUUUCCUGUCAUUUACUUGCUCCCCCUCCCCCCCUUUUUGAUCUGAUUUUUCUUGUGCAGCAUGAUAAAAGUAGAAAUAUGUUUAGAAGAUAUGCACAUGUUUAAUCUAUAUUGAUUGAUUGUUGUCUAAGGAAGGGGCUGAAUAUUGAAAAUUAUCUAGUAUUUUGAAAAUAGAAAGCUAUUAUUUAAAACAAACAAACAAACAAUUUUCCCUGCCCUAUUGGCUUUCCUGUUACUCUACCCUAAGCGUCAGAAAGGUUAAGUGAGUUGCUAGAGAUCAUCCAGGGAGGAAGCAGCCAGUCAGCACUCAAACCCAGACCCUCAUAUUCCAGUUUUGGUGUACUUUCUGCUGUGCUGCACUGUCUCCUUAGAUAACUCCCUUGGACUUCUAUAACCUCAGAGGUCCCUUUCAUUUCCAAGUGUGUGACU
Sarcophilus harrisii (Tasmanian devil) is the source of this 4137-nucleotide long non-coding RNA. RefSeq lists it as uncharacterized. The transcript has 4 exons. The record is from RefSeq and is a predicted model, not a curated record. NCBI's taxonomy places the organism in Eukaryota, Metazoa, Chordata, Mammalia, Dasyuromorphia, Dasyuridae.